UACGUAGGGUGCGAGCGUUGUCCGGAAUUAUUGGGCGUAAAGGGCGCGUAGGCGGUUGGAUAAGUCUUGUGUGAAAUCUUCGGGCUCAACUUGAAGUCUGCACGAGAAACUAUCUGGCUUGAGUGUGGGAGAGGUGAGUGGAAUUCCUGGUGUAGCGGUGAAAUGCGUAGAUAUCAGGAGGAACACCUGUGGCGAAAGCGGCUCACUGGACCACAACUGACGCUGAGGCGCGAAAGCUAGGGGAGCAAACAGG
Molecule: ribosomal RNA, 253 nt
Filed under: uncultured bacterium
Lineage: Bacteria
Description: partial 16S ribosomal RNA
Rfam family: Bacterial small subunit ribosomal RNA
Source: RNAcentral